CCCAGUGGUAGUCAGCCGCUGUGCUUGCAGGUGCCGGCGGUGGUAUUACGGGGCUGGGAGAUGAAGACGCUGCCGUCCAAUGCCGGCCCACGCUGCCCCUGUUCUGGGGGCGCGUGGUGCCGGACCCCGGCAUUGUCGCGCUUCCUCGAGAGUGCGCCGCACCCCGAUCUUGGCUGUUGGCGCUAGUCUGGAAGCGUACAGA
Small nucleolar RNA from Spea bombifrons (plains spadefoot toad), 202 nucleotides. RefSeq annotates it as small nucleolar RNA SNORA74. The record is from RefSeq and is a predicted model, not a curated record. Lineage: Eukaryota; Metazoa; Chordata; Amphibia; Anura; Pelobatidae. The transcript has a single exon.